This is a non-coding RNA of Macrostomum lignano, 74 nucleotides long. The record is from Rfam. NCBI's taxonomy places the organism in Eukaryota, Metazoa, Platyhelminthes, Macrostomidae.
GGGUCUGUAGCCUAGUGGCUAGAGCAUCGGAUUCACGAUUUGAAGGUUGGGGGUUCGAUUCCCGAUCCCACUCG